RNAcentral lists this ribosomal RNA (245 nucleotides) under uncultured bacterium. Its description in RNAcentral is "partial 16S ribosomal RNA". It matches the Rfam family "Bacterial small subunit ribosomal RNA", at positions 524 to 768 of the family's 1533-position model. The record is from RNAcentral.
UACGUAGGGGGCAAGCGUUAUCCGGAUUCAUCGGGCGUAAGGAGCGCGUAGGCGGCUUGGUAAGUCAGGUGUGAAAACCGGGGGCUCAACCCGCGGCCGGCACCUGAAACUGUCAGGCUUGAGUCUGGUAGAGGAAAGUGGAAUUCCCAGUGUAGCGGUGAAAUGCGCAGAUAUUGGGAGGAACACCAGUGGCGAAGGCGGCUUUCUGGGCCACGACUGACGCUGAGGCGCGAAAGCUAGGGGAG